CACCCCCACGUUUAUUUUACUUUUUUCCCUCCCCCCACUUGACAAUGACAGGUGAGCUGUCACUUCCCCCUUCUUCCGUUCGUCAUUUUCCGUCCACCCCCACGUUUAUUUUACUUUUUUCCCUCCCCCCACUUGAUAAUGACAGGUGAGCUGUCACUUCCCCCUUCUUCCGUUCGUCAUUUUCCGUCCACCCCCACGUUUAUUUUACUUUUUUCCCUCCCCCCACUUGACAAUGACAGGUGAGCUGUCACUUCCCCCUUCCCCCCC
RNAcentral lists this long non-coding RNA (267 nucleotides) under Eucalyptus grandis. RNAcentral describes it as "long non-coding RNA (EGRA_LNC004285)". Lineage: Eukaryota; Viridiplantae; Streptophyta; Magnoliopsida; Myrtales; Myrtaceae. The record is from RNAcentral.